Molecule: ribosomal RNA, 496 nt
Filed under: uncultured bacterium
Lineage: Bacteria
Description: partial 16S ribosomal RNA
Rfam family: Bacterial small subunit ribosomal RNA
Source: RNAcentral
GAUGAACGCUGGCGGCGUGCCUAAUACAUGCAAGUCGAGCGAACAGAUGAGGAGCUUGCUCCUCUGACGUUAGCGGCGGACGGGUGAGUAACACGUGGAUAACCUACCUAUAAGACUGGGAUAACUUCGGGAAACCGGAGCUAAUACCGGAUAAUCUAUUGAACCGCAUGGUUCAAUAGUGAAAGACGGUUUUGCUGUCACUUAUAGAUGGAUCCGCGCCGCAUUAGCUAGUUGGUAAGGUAACAGCUUACCAAGGCAACGAUGCGUAGCCGACCUGAGAGGGGGUACGGCCCCACAGGAGCUGAGACACGGCCCAGACACCUACGGGAGGCAGCGGUAGGGAAGCGACCGAAAUGGGCGAAAGCCUGACGGAGCAACGCCGCGCGAGUGAAGAAGGGCUGCGGAUCGUAAAACGCUGUUAUGAGGGAAGAACAAAUGUGUAAGUAACGAUGCACGUCUGAACGGUACCUAAACAGAAAGCCACGGCUAACUACGG